AAAACCGAGUACUUGCUCAUGCUCAACCCGAUUUCAGCAAAGUAAAGUCUCUGAGCAUUUACUCAAAACCAUAUGAAUAAAACGAUACUUUACUCAGAGUAAGUUCGAAAUUCGAACAUAGCUUUUACUCUGUCAAAAUGUUUGUUUUGUUUUGGCUCGAUUGUUACUUAUGCUAAAAGUAAUCCAGCGAUACAAAACCGUGAGAACAGAAGUGCCUUUGCGGAGGAUGUUAACCGUGUUUUGUCGUUUGUUGCCGCCUAAUGGAGGCACACAACUUGGUUAAACUAAACAGUCAGCAUCACGUCUGCCGGAAAUGCGUCGAUAACCCUCAUCGUUGGAUAGAUAGCUACGAGAGAGCAGGUGACCGUGCUCAAGUACAAACCUGAGCUCACCAAAGGACAACAUCGAUCGGAGUCCCUACGUGUUGAUCCGCGUCAGAAUCUGAACCGGCAGAAUUUCGUCAGCAGCAACAAUAUUGAUUCCGCUGGGCAAAAUACUCAAGGUAAAGCCACGAAGGACAGAAUGAACUGGCGAAAACUUUCGCGGACAAUUUGGCUGUCAUAAGCGAGUUCUACACGCCAUAGACGACCGGAUUAGUAAUCAGUAGAG
Aedes aegypti (yellow fever mosquito) is the source of this 609-nucleotide long non-coding RNA. RefSeq lists it as uncharacterized. Lineage: Eukaryota; Metazoa; Arthropoda; Insecta; Diptera; Culicidae. The transcript is spliced from 2 exons. The record is from RefSeq and is a predicted model, not a curated record.